Molecule: ribosomal RNA, 253 nt
Filed under: uncultured bacterium
Lineage: Bacteria
Description: partial 16S ribosomal RNA
Rfam family: Bacterial small subunit ribosomal RNA
Source: RNAcentral
UACGUAGGUGACAAGCGUUGUCCGGAUUUACUGGGCGUAAAGAGCGCGCAGGCGGUCGAUCAAGUCGAGUGUGAAAGCCCCCGGCUCAACUGGGGAGGGUCAUUCGAUACUGAUCGACUCGAAGGCAGGAGAGGGUAGUGGAAUUCCCGGUGUAGUGGUGAAAUGCGUAGAUAUCUGGAGGAACGCCGGAGGCGAAAGCGGCGCACUGGAUCUCUUCUGACGCUGAGGCGCGAAAGCCAGGGGAGCAAACGGG